GGUGGAGCGAUUUGUCUGGUUAAUUCCGAUAACGAACGAGACUCUGGCCUAUUAAAUAGACGAUAUAUUUCAAAGUAUAUCGCGCUUCUUAGAGGGACAAGCGGCGUCUAGCCGCAUGAAAUAGAGCAAUAACAGGUCUGUGAUGCCCUUAGAUGUCCGGGGCUGCACGCGCGCUACACUGAAAGAAGCAGUGUGCGUCGAGACCCUAGUCCGGAAGGACCGGGUAACCCAAGUAAAUUCUUUCGUGCUUGGGAUAGGGAAUUGGAAUUAUUUCCCUUAAACGAGGAAUUCCCAGUAAAUGCGGGUCAUAAGCUCGCGUUGAAUACGUCCCUGCCCUUUGUAC
This 343-nucleotide ribosomal RNA is filed under the name Nematoda environmental sample. RNAcentral's name for it is "SSU rRNA". It matches the Rfam family "Eukaryotic small subunit ribosomal RNA", at positions 1300 to 1665 of the family's 1831-position model. Lineage: Eukaryota; Metazoa; Nematoda. The record is from RNAcentral.